Molecule: transfer RNA, 72 nt
Filed under: Bos taurus (domestic cattle)
Lineage: Eukaryota; Metazoa; Chordata; Mammalia; Artiodactyla; Bovidae
Also listed under: 3 other names
Rfam family: tRNA
About the family: Transfer RNA (tRNA) molecules are approximately 80 nucleotides in length. Their secondary structure includes four short double-helical elements and three loops (D, anti-codon, and T loops).
Source: Rfam by way of RNAcentral
UUCCUUGUGGCUCAGCAGGUAGAGCACCUGCCUGCAAUGCAGGAGACCUGGGUUGGAUCCCUGGGUUGGGAA